Molecule: long non-coding RNA, 1133 nt
Filed under: Setaria italica (foxtail millet)
Lineage: Eukaryota; Viridiplantae; Streptophyta; Magnoliopsida; Poales; Poaceae
Description: long non-coding RNA (SITA_LNC004580)
Source: RNAcentral
UAUCACGAGAUAAUAAGUUUCUUUCGAAAGUAUUCAUUUUCAGAAUAUGAAUGUACAUUAUUCAAGCAUAUAUACAAGCAAUGCAUCAAGCUUAUUAUGACAUAAACAAACAAAACAGAUGCUAUACAUGGUGACUGUAUAUGAGAACUAUAUAUUCACAAUAGCCCAUUUAACUAGCUAGUGUUGUAGUUCGACAGACGAGCAACGACACGAUAUCUUCGGCAUAGUCUUUGUAGAUCGAUCCUGAAGGUUAGUACAUCAACCGCGCCACAUACCAAUAGCAGAAUCUGAAGAAUGACAACGCAGAGAUAUCGUGAAAAUUGAAUGUAUAGAAUUUAAUUAAGCUAGUAAAUAUAGAAAUACAUAUAUAUUCAGGCUAUAUACUAGUAGGGUACAAAUACGUACCUUUUUUGCCUGUAUUUUUGCCUCUUUUAUCUGGGUUGUACGGCGGCUGCACCGCGCUGGAUGAGCAUCCGGCCCCGGUACCCGGCAGAGGAUUCUGCGUACCUAGAGCUACAUGGAUGCGCAAGAGGAAAAUUAGAAAGGAAAAGAUCGAAAUUAAGGGCUAUUAGUCAUGUUGGAAUUAUAAGUAAUCAUCCCAUGAACGAUUAGAUUUAUAACCUCUGAACUUUUGGUUUCUUUACUGUUAGUAUUGCACACCCAACAACGUUUAGGAAAUUGGUAUCCCUCAUUUCAGUACAUAGCUUAAUUAAUCUCUGACAGAGAAAACCUAGAGAUGCAUGGGUUGGUUGAGCUCGAUUUCCGAGGUUGGCUUCUCCUGUUGCGACAGAAAAAGUUCGAGGCUUCGAGAUUGUUUAUUCACGCCUCACGUGGUCACGAGAGUAAGGUCAUACUAACCAGAUGCAGGGGAUGGAUUUUGUUGCGGAGAUCGAUACGGCGUCUGGCCGGGUUGUGGUCCUCCAAGGGGAGGCAUGCGAGCAGUAGACAUCCCUGUAUUUCCAGCGUAUCAGACAUAACAAAAGGCCAAGCAACUCAGGUUUAAGCAAUAUAUAGAUCAGGAUUGACAUAAUCUGGAUUUGAUGCGCACCAUUAGCAGAGGGUUUCUUGGCUUCCUUCUUGUCCUUCGUCAUUGUUUGUGAUCAAUGCGUGCGAUCGUUUGUGAUCCGCUUGUG